CAGUAGCCACGGUAAUACAGAGGGUGCGAGCGUUAAUCGGAUUUACUGGGCGUAAAGCGUGCGUAGGCGGCUUCUUAAGUCGGAUGUGAAAUCCCUGAGCUUAACUUAGGAAUUGCAUUCGAUACUGGGAAGCUAGAGUAUGGGAGAGGAUGGUAGAAUUCCAGGUGUAGCGGUGAAAUGCGUAGAGAUCUGGAGGAAUACCGAUGGCGAAGGCAGCCAUCUGGCCUAAUACUGACGCUGAGGUACGAAAGCAUGGGGAGCAAACAGGAUUAGAUACCCCCUAGUCCCUGUCUCUUAUACA
This 301-nucleotide ribosomal RNA is filed under the name uncultured bacterium. Its description in RNAcentral is "partial 16S ribosomal RNA". It matches the Rfam family "Bacterial small subunit ribosomal RNA", at positions 509 to 808 of the family's 1533-position model. The record is from RNAcentral.